RNAcentral lists this unclassified non-coding RNA (616 nucleotides) under Hevea brasiliensis (rubber tree). The record is from RNAcentral. Lineage: Eukaryota; Viridiplantae; Streptophyta; Magnoliopsida; Malpighiales; Euphorbiaceae.
UUGAGCUCAUUCAGCCGAUCAAGCACAAUAAGCUUCACAUUGUUAUCACUCUGAGACAAAAGAAGCUGACAAUAGGUGCCAGCAGCACUUCUAAUAGCAGUAGGGGCAGAUGAGAGUGAAACAAGUGUCCCAGCACAUUCAUAAAUAACUGCAGUAGAAGGGGCAUUUAACAAAGAUAUAAUGAUCUUAAUGUACUUGCCCUUCUCUCCUCGAUUUGUUCGGCACACCUUCCGAAUCAACUCCAACACAACCAUCUGAAGUAAUUCACCCCAUUCAGAAACCCUAUCAACAUGGGUCAAAAGAUAAUUAAUAGCUCGGUCCUGUGCACAAGUAAAAAGCAUAAGAAAAGCAUUCCUCUUAGCAGAUUGGUCCUGCUCAGAUGAAAGAACUUUCUCAAUCAUUUCAGGAGCAUCAACCAAAAGUUGCUCACCCUGGGGAAGCUUAUAUAUAGCCAUCACAGCUAAUAUGGCAUUCCUCCUGAUAAAUGGAUGCCGAUGCUCCAGAUUUUGCAGAACUGAAGGGAUCAAUGGCUCAAUUAUUUCUGUCUCAUUCAAUCGGCACAAAAACCUCAAUGUCACCCCACGAAUGUAUUCAUUUGGGUGCUGAAGGUUGUUCC